UCUCCUGGAUUUACCACCUUUGCUGUGUGU
This 30-nucleotide non-coding RNA is filed under the name Homo sapiens (human). Lineage: Eukaryota; Metazoa; Chordata; Mammalia; Primates; Hominidae. The record is from RNAcentral.